Molecule: ribosomal RNA, 1428 nt
Filed under: Lactiplantibacillus plantarum
Lineage: Bacteria; Bacillati; Bacillota; Bacilli; Lactobacillales; Lactobacillaceae
Description: bacterial SSU rRNA
Rfam family: Bacterial small subunit ribosomal RNA
Source: RNAcentral
AAGUCGAACGAACUCUGGUAUUGAUUGGUGCUUGCAUCAUGAUUUACAUUUGAGUGAGUGGCGAACUGGUGAGUAACACGUGGGAAACCUGCCCAGAAGCGGGGGAUAACACCUGGAAACAGAUGCUAAUACCGCAUAACAACUUGGACCGCAUGGUCCGAGCUUGAAAGAUGGCUUCGGCUAUCACUUUUGGAUGGUCCCGCGGCGUAUUAGCUAGAUGGUGGGGUAACGGCUCACCAUGGCAAUGAUACGUAGCCGACCUGAGAGGGUAAUCGGCCACAUUGGGACUGAGACACGGCCCAAACUCCUACGGGAGGCAGCAGUAGGGAAUCUUCCACAAUGGACGAAAGUCUGAUGGAGCAACGCCGCGUGAGUGAAGAAGGGUUUCGGCUCGUAAAACUCUGUUGUUAAAGAAGAACAUAUCUGAGAGUAACUGUUCAGGUAUUGACGGUAUUUAACCAGAAAGCCACGGCUAACUACGUGCCAGCAGCCGCGGUAAUACGUAGGUGGCAAGCGUUGUCCGGAUUUAUUGGGCGUAAAGCGAGCGCAGGCGGUUUUUUAAGUCUGAUGUGAAAGCCUUCGGCUCAACCGAAGAAGUGCAUCGGAAACUGGGAAACUUGAGUGCAGAAGAGGACAGUGGAACUCCAUGUGUAGCGGUGAAAUGCGUAGAUAUAUGGAAGAACACCAGUGGCGAAGGCGGCUGUCUGGUCUGUAACUGACGCUGAGGCUCGAAAGUAUGGGUAGCAAACAGGAUUAGAUACCCUGGUAGUCCAUACCGUAAACGAUGAAUGCUAAGUGUUGGAGGGUUUCCGCCCUUCAGUGCUGCAGCUAACGCAUUAAGCAUUCCGCCUGGGGAGUACGGCCGCAAGGCUGAAACUCAAAGGAAUUGACGGGGGCCCGCACAAGCGGUGGAGCAUGUGGUUUAAUUCGAAGCUACGCGAAGAACCUUACCAGGUCUUGACAUACUAUGCAAAUCUAAGAGAUUAGACGUUCCCUUCGGGGACAUGGAUACAGGUGGUGCAUGGUUGUCGUCAGCUCGUGUCGUGAGAUGUUGGGUUAAGUCCCGCAACGAGCGCAACCCUUAUUAUCAGUUGCCAGCAUUAAGUUGGGCACUCUGGUGAGACUGCCGGUGACAAACCGGAGGAAGGUGGGGAUGACGUCAAAUCAUCAUGCCCCUUAUGACCUGGGCUACACACGUGCUACAAUGGAUGGUACAACGAGUUGCGAACUCGCGAGAGUAAGCUAAUCUCUUAAAGCCAUUCUCAGUUCGGAUUGUAGGCUGCAACUCGCCUACAUGAAGUCGGAAUCGCUAGUAAUCGCGGAUCAGCAUGCCGCGGUGAAUACGUUCCCGGGCCUUGUACACACCGCCCGUCACACCAUGAGAGUUUGUAACACCCAAAGUCGGUGGGGUAACCUUUUAGGAACCAA